AUUUAUAGUAAAUUUAUAAUUGAUUUGCAAUCAGUUGAAAUGGUUAAACCAUAUGAAUA
Molecule: transfer RNA, 59 nt
Filed under: Cheiracanthium brevispinum
Lineage: Eukaryota; Metazoa; Arthropoda; Arachnida; Araneae; Cheiracanthiidae
Description: tRNA-Ala
Source: RNAcentral